GUCUUUAAGAUUUUAUUUAAAGUCUAAUCUGCUCACUGAAUUUUUAAAGAGCCGCAGUAUUUUAACUGUGCAAAGGUAGCAUAAUCAAUAGUUUUUUAAUUGAAAACUGGAAUGAAAGAUUGAAUGAUAAAUUAACUUUUUUAAUUUUAAAAAUUUAAUUUAAAUUUUAAGUUAAAAUUCUUAAAUAAAUUUAAAAGACGAGAAGACCCCAUAGAUUUUUAUUAAUAAAAAUAAUUAUUAUAAAAUAUUAUUUGAUUAAUUUAAUUGGGGUGAUUUUGUAAUAUAAAAAACUUAAUUUUAAAAAACCAUAGAUAAUUGAAUUUUUUUGAUCUAAAAUUUUUAAAUAAAAAAUUAAAUUACCUUGGGGAUAACAGCGUAAUAUUAUUUAAGAGUUCAUAUCUAUAAUAAUGAUUGCGACCUCGAUGUUGAAUUAAGAAAUUUAUUGGAGUAGAAAUUAAUAAUAAUUAGUCUGUUCGACUAUUAAAUUCU
Molecule: ribosomal RNA, 489 nt
Filed under: Amphipsocus japonicus
Lineage: Eukaryota; Metazoa; Arthropoda; Insecta; Psocodea; Amphipsocidae
Description: partial 16S ribosomal RNA
Source: RNAcentral